AGUGAACGCUGGCGGUAGGCCUAACACAUGCAAGUCGAACGGCAGCACAGUAAGAGCUUGCUCUUACGGGUGGCGAGUGGCGGACGGGUGAGGAAUACAUCGGAAUCUACUUUUUCGUGGGGGAUAACGUAGGGAAACUUACGCUACUACCGCAUACGACCUACGGCUGAAAGCAGUGGAUCUUCGGACCUUGCGCGAUUGAAUGAGCCGAUGUCGGAUUAGCUAGUUGGCGUGGUAAAGGCCCACCAAGGCGACGAUCCGUAGCUGGUCUGAGAGGAUGAUCAGCCACACUGGAACUGAGACACGGUCCAGACUCCUACGGGAGGCAGCAGUGGGGAAUAUUGGACAAUGGGCGCAAGCCUGAUCCAGCCAUACCGCGUGAGUGAAGAAGGCCUUCGGGUUGUAAAGCCCUUUUGUUGGGAAAGAAAAGCAGCAGGUUAAUACCCCGCUGUUCUGACGGUACCCAAAGAAUAAGCACCGGCUAACUUCGUG
Molecule: ribosomal RNA, 492 nt
Filed under: uncultured bacterium
Lineage: Bacteria
Description: partial 16S ribosomal RNA
Rfam family: Bacterial small subunit ribosomal RNA
Source: RNAcentral